RNAcentral lists this ribosomal RNA (1333 nucleotides) under Ozodiceromyia costalis. RNAcentral describes it as "eukaryotic LSU rRNA". It matches the Rfam family "Eukaryotic large subunit ribosomal RNA", at positions 695 to 1857 of the family's 3401-position model. The record is from RNAcentral. Lineage: Eukaryota; Metazoa; Arthropoda; Insecta; Diptera; Therevidae.
UGGGUUUAUUUAAAACUUAAAGGCGAAAUUAACUUAACUGUUAUUUAAUGGGAUUAUUAUAUUAUUAUAUUUAAUUAUAUAGUCAAUCCCGGGGCGUUCUAUACAGUUAUGCAUUUUAAUAUUUAUAUAUUAUAUUUGCCUCUAACUAUAGCGUACCUUGAGCAUAUAUGUUGUGACCCGAAAGAUGGUGAACUAUACCUGAUCAGGUUGAAGUCAGGGGAAACCCUGAUGGAAGACCGAAACAGUUCUGACGUGCAAAUCGAUUGUCAGAAUUGGGUAUAGGGGCGAAAGACCGAUCGAACCAUCUAGUAGCUGGUUCCCUCCGAAGUUUCCCUCAGGAUAGCUGGUGCAUUUAAAUAUUAUAUAAAAUAAUCUUAUCUGGUAAAGCGAAUGAUUAGAGGCAUUAGGGCCGAAACGACCUUAACCUAUUCUCAAACUUUAAAUGGGUAAGACCCUCACCUUUCUUGAUAUGAAGGUUGAGGUUAUGAUAUAUUGUGCCCAGUGGGCCACUUUUGGUAAGCAGAACUGGCGCUGUGGGAUGAACCAAACGUGAUGUUACGGUGCCCAAAUUGACAACUCAUACUGAUACCAUGAAAGGCGUUGCUUGCUUAAAACAGCAGGACGGUGGACAUGGAAGUCGUAAUCCGCUAAGGAGUGUGUAACAACUCACCUGCCGAAGCAACUAGCCCUUAAAAUGGAUGGCGCUCAAGUUGUAUACCUAUACAUCACCGCUAAAGCAUAUGAUUUAUAAAUUUUAUAAUUUAUAAAUUUUGAAGCUUUAGUGAGUAGGAGGGUACAAUGGUGUGCAUAGAAGUGUUUGGCGUAAGCCUGCAUGGAGCCGCCAUUGGCACAGAUCUUGGUGGUAGUAGCAAAUAAUCGAAUGAGACCUUGGAGGACUGAAGUGGAGAAGGGUUUCGUGUGAACAGUGGUUGAUCACGAGUUAGUCGGUCCUAAGUUCAAGGCGAAAGCCGAAAAUAUUUUAAGUUUUUUUUAUUUUUUUUAUAUAAAAUUUAUAAUAAUACUUAAAUAUAUUUUGAACGAAAGGGAAUACGGUUCCAAUUCCGUAACCUGUUGAGUAUACGUUUGUUAUUAAAUAUGGGCUUUCAUGCUCAUCCUGGUAACAGAAACAACCAUAAAGAAGCCGUCGAGAGAUAUCGAAAGAGUUUUCUUUUCUGUUUUAUAGUCGUACUACCAUGGAAGUCUUUCGAAGAGAGAUAUGGUAGAUGGACUAGAAGAGCAUGGCAUUUACUGCUGUGUCGAUAUUUUCUCCUCGGACCUUGAAAAUUUAUGGUGGGGUCACGCAAACUUCUUAACAGGCCGUACCGAUAUCCGC